AUCGCUUCUUGGCCUUUUGGCUAAGAUCAAGUGUAGUAUCCCUGGGGCAAAUAAUACAUUAUAUGUUAAUAAAAAUAAUUAAUUAAAAUAAGAAUACAC
This 99-nucleotide small nuclear RNA is filed under the name Mustela putorius furo (domestic ferret). RNAcentral's name for it is "U2 spliceosomal RNA". It matches the Rfam family "U2 spliceosomal RNA". From Rfam's summary of the family: U2 is a small nuclear RNA (snRNA) component of the spliceosome (involved in pre-mRNA splicing). Complementary binding between U2 snRNA (in an area lying towards the 5' end but 3' to hairpin I) and the branchpoint sequence (BPS) of the intron results the bulging out of an unpaired adenosine, on the BPS, which initiates a nucleophilic attack at the intronic 5' splice site, thus starting the first of two transesterification reactions that mediate splicing. Lineage: Eukaryota; Metazoa; Chordata; Mammalia; Carnivora; Mustelidae. The record is from Rfam by way of RNAcentral.